GUAGUCGUCCAGGUAGGAAGUUUUCGGUAUCCCUUGGACUCACGGAUGAACGCUGGCGGCGUGCUAACACAUGCAAGUCGAACGGAUCCAUAUUGAAACCUAGUGAUGUAUGGAGUUAGUGGCGGACGGGUGGAGUAACGCGUGGAUAACCUGCCGUAUACAGGGGGAUAACACUUAGAAAUAGGUGCUAAUACCGCAUAAGCGCACGGUUCCGCAUGGAACAGUGUGAAAAACUCCGGUGGUAUACGAUGGAUCCGCGUCUGAUUAGCCAGUUGCGGGGUAACGGCCCACCAAAGCGACGAUCAGUAGCCGGCCUGAGAGGGUGAACGGCCACAUUGGGACUGAGACACGGCCCAAACUCCUACGGGAGGCAGCAGUGGGGAAUAUUGCACAAUGGGGGAAACCCUGAUGCAGCGACGCCGCGUGAGUGAAGAAGUAUUUCGGUACGUAAAGCUCUAUCAGCAGGGAAGAAAAAAAGCCCUUUGGACUUUGGACGGUACCUGACCAAGAAGCCCCGGCUAACUACGUG
RNAcentral lists this ribosomal RNA (529 nucleotides) under uncultured Lachnospiraceae bacterium. Its description in RNAcentral is "bacterial SSU rRNA". It matches the Rfam family "Bacterial small subunit ribosomal RNA", at positions 1 to 507 of the family's 1533-position model. The record is from RNAcentral. Lineage: Bacteria; Bacillati; Bacillota; Clostridia; Lachnospirales; Lachnospiraceae.